CUACGGGGUGCUGCAGUGGGGAAUAUUGGACAAUGGGGGAAACCCUGAUCCAGCAAUGCCGCGUGUGUGAAGAAGGCCUGCGGGUUGUAAAGCACUUUCGGUUGGGAGGACUGCUUCUAGCACUAAUAUUGUUGGAAGUUGACGUUACCUUCCGAAGAAGCACCGGCUAACUCCGUGCCAGCAGCCGGCGGUAAUACGGAGGGUGCAAGCGUUAAUCGGAAUUACUGGGCGUAAAGCGCGCGUAGGCGGCUAGAUCAGUCGGGUGUGAAAGCCCCGGGCUUAACCUGGGAACUGCAUCCGAUACUGUCUAGCUUGAGUACAGGAGAGGAGAGUGGAAUUCCACAUGUAGCGGUGAAAUGCGUAGAUAUGUGGAGGAACACCAAUGGCGAAGGCAGCUCUCUGGCCUGAUACUGACGCUGAGGUGCGAAAGCGUGGGGAGCAAACAGGAUUAGAUACCCUCGUAGUC
Molecule: ribosomal RNA, 466 nt
Filed under: uncultured bacterium
Lineage: Bacteria
Description: partial 16S ribosomal RNA
Rfam family: Bacterial small subunit ribosomal RNA
Source: RNAcentral